RNAcentral lists this ribosomal RNA (694 nucleotides) under uncultured bacterium. RNAcentral's name for it is "bacterial SSU rRNA". It matches the Rfam family "Bacterial small subunit ribosomal RNA", at positions 1 to 749 of the family's 1533-position model. The record is from RNAcentral.
UAGAGUUUGAUCAUGGCUCAGAACGAACGCUGGCGGCAGGCCUGACACAUGCAAGUCGAGCGCGCCUUCGGGUGAGCGGCGGACGGGUUAGUAACGCGUGGGAACGUGCCCUUUUCUACGGAAUAGCCUCUGGAAACGGAGAGUAAUACCGUAUACGCCCUUUGGGGGAAAGAUUUAUCGGAGAAGGAUCGGCCCGCGUUAGAUUAGGUAGUUGGUGGGGUAACGGCCUACCAAGCCUACGAUCUAUAGCUGGUUUUAGAGGAUGAUCAGCAACACUGGGACUGAGACACGGCCCAGACUCCUACGGGAGGCAGCAGUGGGGAAUCUUAGACAAUGGGGGCAACCCUGAUCUAGCCAUGCCGCGUGAGUGAUGAAGGCCUUAGGGUCGUAAAGCUCUUUCGCCUGUGAUGAUAAUGACAGUAGCAGGUAAAGAAACCCCGGCUAACUCCGUGCCAGCAGCCGCGGUAAUACGGAGGGGGUUAGCGUUGUUCGGAAUUACUGGGCGUAAAGCGCGCGUAGGCGGAUUAGAAAGUUGGGGGUGAAAUCCCGGGGCUCAACCUCGGAACUGCCUCCAAAACUGCUAGUCUAGAGUUCGAGAGAGGUGAGUGGAAUUCCGAGUGUAGAGGUGAAAUUCGUAGAUAUUCGGAGGAACACCAGUGGCGAAAGCGGCUCACUGGCUCGAUACUGACGCUGA